This 23-nucleotide non-coding RNA is filed under the name Arabidopsis thaliana (thale cress). RNAcentral also lists the same sequence under 4 other names. Lineage: Eukaryota; Viridiplantae; Streptophyta; Magnoliopsida; Brassicales; Brassicaceae. The record is from RNAcentral.
CCCUGUUGAGCUUGACUCUAGUC